AAGUCGUAACAAGGUUUCCGUAGGUGAACCUGCGGAAGGAUCAUUACCGAGUGCGGGCCCUCGUGGCCCAACCUCCCACCCUUGUCUCUAUACACCUGUUGCUUUGGCGGGCCCACCGGGGCCACCUGGUCGCCGGGGGACAUCUGUCCCCGGGCCCGCGCCCGCCGAAGCGCUCUGUGAACCCUGAUGAAGAUGGGCUGUCUGAGUACUAUGAAAAUUGUCAAAACUUUCAACAAUGGAUCUCUUGGUUCCG
Molecule: unclassified non-coding RNA, 253 nt
Filed under: Talaromyces amestolkiae
Lineage: Eukaryota; Fungi; Ascomycota; Eurotiomycetes; Eurotiales; Trichocomaceae
Also listed under: 1 other name
Description: partial internal transcribed spacer region
Rfam family: Eukaryotic small subunit ribosomal RNA (bases 1-46)
Source: RNAcentral